RNAcentral lists this long non-coding RNA (819 nucleotides) under Coffea arabica (coffee). RNAcentral describes it as "long non-coding RNA (CARA_LNC006919)". The record is from RNAcentral. Lineage: Eukaryota; Viridiplantae; Streptophyta; Magnoliopsida; Gentianales; Rubiaceae.
AAAUUUUAGCUAAUAUAUCUAUUAGACCCCUUAGAGAUCAUAAAAAAAAAAUCAAAAACCAUCGUAAACUCCCAAAUACAACUCACCGUAUUUUUAUACACAAAUAAAUAAAUAAAAAUUUUCAAAUACAACUCAUGUUAUUUCUAUACAUAAAAUAAAUAAAUAAAAAUUCUCGAGUACAACUCAUCUCAUUUCUAUAUACAAAAUAUAUAAAUAAAAUACCACCAUCCCUACCUCUUGCCGCCUCCAUACUCCACCUUCCAUCACCACCCUUUUCCCUCUCCUUCUUCCCUAUCUCCAUUUCCCCUCCCUCCCCUUCAUCCCACUCCCUCUCAUCUCCUCACAGCUACUUCACCAUAUACUCUCUUUUCAAUUACCAUAGUCAGUUGUGGAAGAGAGGAAAGGGGUGAGGAGAAGGAGUCGUGAUUAGAUCACCCCUUCCCCGCAUCCCUUCCCCUCCCUCCUGUGAUAGAUCUAGUCACAGAAAGGAUGUGAGGAAGUACAGAAAAGGGGUUGCAAAGAGAAGGAAGGUAGGUGUAGAGCAGGGAAACGAGAAGAAAGAGGGAAGGGGAAGGGAGAGUAGGAAGAAGGAAAGGAAUGAGGUUUAGAUGGAGGGGAGGGUGAUGGUAGAUGGUGAAAAAUAAUGGUGGCGUCAAUAGGUAACCAUAGGAGGCUUUUUUAUAGAUUGAUUUAACCACAGAAAGUUUUUCCGUAGGUUUGUUUAAUUAGAAUGGUUGUUACGGUCUUUUUUACUUAUAUAUAUUAGGGUAAUUGUAUGAUUUCAUCUGCCUCCGUUAAUUUUGACGAUUUUCAUUGCUA